CCCCUAGAUGUUCUGGGCCGCACGCGCGCUACACUGAACAGUUCAACAAGUCUUAACCUUGGCCGAUAGGUCUGGGUAAUCUUUGAACGCUGUUCGUGAUUGGGAUAGACCUUUGCAAUUAUGGGUCUUCAACGAGGAAUUCCUAGUAAACGCAAGUCAUCAGCUUGCAUUGAUUACGUCCCUGCCCCUUGUACACACCGCCCGUCGCACCUACCGAUUGAAUGGUCCGGUGAAAUCUCGGGACGGCGGCUUGGUCGCUUGCGUCCGACUGCUGAAACUUGAUUAAACCAUAUCAUUUAGAGGAAGGUGAANUCGUAACA
This 320-nucleotide ribosomal RNA is filed under the name uncultured eukaryote. Its description in RNAcentral is "partial 18S ribosomal RNA". It matches the Rfam family "Eukaryotic small subunit ribosomal RNA", at positions 1470 to 1796 of the family's 1831-position model. The record is from RNAcentral.